Molecule: small nuclear RNA, 132 nt
Organism: Rhododendron vialii
Lineage: Eukaryota; Viridiplantae; Streptophyta; Magnoliopsida; Ericales; Ericaceae
Source: RefSeq, a predicted model, not a curated record
GAGGAGCUGGACUGGAGACGGUUGGCAUCUUCCCAGACAGGGACGGGAAUAGCUUUCGGGCUUUCCUGUUUCCAGACACGUCCGGUCCGGUUAAGGCUAUCCAUUUCUGUCGAUCUCUAACCCAAAUUUUUA